GGAUUGCCUCAGACCACACUAUCUCCACUUGCCCAGCCCUGUGGAAGAUUAGCGACCAUGUAUUCCAAUGUGAUAGGAACCAUAACCUCUGGAAAAAGCAUGGGAGAAAAUCAACCAUCAGUUGAUUCUAAUUCCACCAUGACCAUGUCCAGGCAACUGAACUAUCCCCUGGCAGGAAGUCUCGGACUGAACCCGUCUCGGGCCCUUGUACUUGGUUCAAAAGCUUUAGCCCUUCUCUUGGCCACACCAGGAAGGUGUAUCUUUUGUCCUUGCUGCUCAUUGGCUUCUGGGACUGUGUGACCUGUCACGGGAGCCCUGUGGACAUCUGCAUAGCCAAGCCGCGGGACAUUCCCAUGAAUCCCAUGUGCAUUUACCGCUCCCCGGAGAAGAAGGCAACUGAGGAUGAGGGCUCAGAACAGAAGAUCCCCGAGGCCACCAACCGGCGUGUCUGGGAACUGUCCAAGGCCAAUUCCCGCUUUGCUACCACUUUCUAUCAGCACCUGGCAGAUUCCAAGAAUGACAAUGAUAACAUUUUCCUGUCACCCCUAAGUAUCUCCACGGCUUUUGCUAUGACCAAGCUGGGUGCCUGUAAUGACACCCUCCAGCAACUGAUGGAGGUAUUUAAGUUUGACACCAUAUCUGAGAAAACAUC
RNAcentral lists this small RNA (652 nucleotides) under Pongo abelii (Sumatran orangutan). RNAcentral describes it as "processed transcript". Lineage: Eukaryota; Metazoa; Chordata; Mammalia; Primates; Hominidae. The record is from RNAcentral.